RNAcentral lists this long non-coding RNA (218 nucleotides) under Marmota monax (woodchuck). Lineage: Eukaryota; Metazoa; Chordata; Mammalia; Rodentia; Sciuridae. The record is from RNAcentral.
CUGACCAAGAGACACACAGGAGGUGAGGGAGAGGGACUGACCUGACCUAGAGACACACAAGAGGUGAGGGAGAGGGGCUGACCUCACAAAGAGACACACAGGAGGUGAGGGAGAGGGGCUGCCUGACCAAGAGACACACAGGAGGUGAGGGAGCAGGACUGUCUUGACCAAGAGACACACAGGAGGUGAGGGAGAGGGACUGGCCUGACCAAGAGACA